This is a long non-coding RNA of Pseudopipra pipra, 283 nucleotides long. RefSeq lists it as uncharacterized. Lineage: Eukaryota; Metazoa; Chordata; Aves; Passeriformes; Pipridae. The record is from RefSeq and is a predicted model, not a curated record. The transcript is spliced from 3 exons.
AGGUGGGAGGUUCACAUCACUCUUUCUACCUGCAGGAGCAUCAGCUCUGCAGUCAGGAUGAAGCUCCCUAUUUUAACUGCAGUCCUUCUUGGACUCGUCCUGACUCCAACCCUUGGUGAAAAUGAUCAGCAGAUAAAAGGAAAACAGGAAAUCAUCGUCGAUGGAAACACCCAAAUCUCCAUCACUGGUGUUGCACAAACAGUGAAGAUCAAUAGUCAAAAGCGUGUGGCAAUUAUCCAGCAAACGGGCAAAGAUUUAUCAUGGAAAACCAUCUGGAACUACA